GACGAACGCUGGCGGCGUGCUUCAUGCAUGCAAGUCGAGCGGGGUCCAUCCAGUGGCAACACUGGUGAAGACCUAGCGGCGAACGGGUGAGUAACACGUGAGGAACCUGCCCCAGAGACCGGGAUAACCCUCCGAAAGGAGAGCUAAUACCGGAUGCCCCCACCGGAUCGCAUGGUCUGGUGAGGAAAUGGAUUCCGCUCUGGGAGGGCCUCGCGGCCUAUCAGCUUGUUUGUGAGGUAACAGCUCACCAAGGCGUCGACGGGUAGCUGGUCUGAGAGGACGGUCAGCCACACUGGGACUGAGACACGGCCCAGACUCCUACGGGAGGCAGCAGUAGGGAAUCUUGCACAAUGGGCGAAAGCCUGACGCAGCAACGCCGCGUGGGGGAUGAAGGCUCUCGGGUUGUAAACCCCUUUCAGCAGGGACGAUUGUGACGGUACCUGCAGAAGAAGGACCGGCCAACUACGUGCCAGCAGCCGCAGUAA
RNAcentral lists this ribosomal RNA (485 nucleotides) under uncultured bacterium. Its description in RNAcentral is "partial 16S ribosomal RNA". It matches the Rfam family "Bacterial small subunit ribosomal RNA", at positions 28 to 523 of the family's 1533-position model. The record is from RNAcentral.